This is a long non-coding RNA of Equus caballus (horse), 1712 nucleotides long. Lineage: Eukaryota; Metazoa; Chordata; Mammalia; Perissodactyla; Equidae. The record is from Ensembl.
UGUGGCGGAGCCGCCCAGGGCUGCCCACACCUGCUGUGUGUCACCUGCAGCUCAGCCCCAGGAGGAGUUUGCUCUGCUCUGUGGCUGUAACUUCUGGUCUGAGCUACAGAAGGAGGAGAGAGGACGUCAGGAAGGAGGAACUGAGCUCCCGUGGGAGAGGCUCAGAGGUUUCCAGAUGCAGAGCAGGCCUCUGCCUCAGAGCAGAGCCUGAGGUUGGAACCACAGGUGGGGCUCCAGGAGGACAGGGGUCUCCCGCCUCGAUUCUCCACGGGAUCCCAGCGCCUGGAAAGGCUCCCAGCUCUGGGUGGACUCUCACAGAGGGCCUGUUGACACAGUGAAUGAACAGGGAGGUCUGCCCUUCCCUCUCCCAGCCCCUGGGCUAGGAGAUGAGGAGCCCUAACCCGGGGCCUUGAAGGUCCAACCUGUGGGGUGAGCCCUGGACGGCGACAACCCCAGCGCAGGAAGCCCCUGGGAGGAGCCUGGCCCCCAAGCCACGGUGUCAUCCCUCAGGAGGGUUCUCCUCACCGUGACAACUAAGGACACACUGUCCAAGUCCCUCCUUCCCUGGGCAGUUGGCCGAUGGUCAGUGUUCUGAAAUCAAACUCAAGCUGGGAGCAGCUGUUGGCACGGGGUGCUGUGUUUGAUGACUGUUGUCAGGCACGAGGUUUGUUUCUGAUUCUCACGUGUGGGGGUCGGCCCCGUGGCCAAGUAGUUAAGUUCUUGCGCUCAGCUGCGGCAGCCCAGGGUUUCUUCUGUUCGGAUAUUGGGCGUGGACAUGGCACGGCUUGUCAGGCCUCGUUGAGGCGGCGUCCCACAUGCCACAACUAGAAGGACCUACAACUAAGAUAUACAACUAUGUAGCGGGGGGAUUUGGGGCAAUAAGGCAGAAAAAAAAGGACUCAUGUGGACCCUGAGCCCCCAGUCCCUGUGUGCACACAUGGGGGCCGGCAGAGGAGGAAGUCCAGGGAGUCCUGUCCACAGGGCAGCCCCCUGGGCAUCAGCCCUCUGUCAGGACAGGGUCUGGGGGAUGGUAUUUGGGGGAGCAGGCACUCAGGUUGGAGCAGGGUCCCGCUCAGGAAGCUGACACUGCUCCUCGUGCUGGGCCACUGGGAAGGAUGCAGAGAUAGCAGGACAGGUCCAGUCCUCUGGGAGGGGUCCUAGCAGGACCCUGCAGCCUCCCUGGGAGCAGGCCAGCUCACUGCACUCAGGGGAAGCUGUGCUGGAUCCUCCAGAUCCCACAGGAAGUGAUCCUGGAGCUUGCUCUCUGCUGGUCACGGUGAUGUCAGGGCAGGUGCAGAGGAGCGAUGGCCCACGGGCUCCAUUGUCCAGGCCAGGUUUUCUCCCCUGUAAUUAUCCUGUCAGCGGGGGAGCGAGGAGCCUAGGGGUAGGAUUCCUUCUGAAUUGGGAUUCCCAGAAUGCUCGGGGGGACUGACUGGAGCCCCAGGCAGGUGGUGACCUUGACCCCUCAGGUGCACUUGAACUUGGCGUCCCAGGGGGUGACAGCCACCCCACCUGCUGCUGCUCAGGGCUGCCCUGGGCGGGGCGGCUAGCUGCACCUGCUGUUUGCGGACGGACAGGACCCCAGGAGGCUGAGCAAUCUUAAUUUAAAUGAUUCAGUAGGAAGGUGGAAAUCAAGCUGGAGAUGUUCUGCUUAAGGACAACACAUUUAAAGGCCCAUGGAUUAUUUAUUCCCUUAAUUUCCCCUCGAAUGC